AUUGAACGCUGGCGGCAUGCCUUACACAUGCAAGUCGAACGGCAGCACGGGAGCAAUCCUGGUGGCGAGUGGCGAACGGGUGAGUAAUAUAUCGGAACGUGCCCAGUCGUGGGGAUAACGUAGCGAAAGCUACGCUAAUACCGCAUACGAUCUAUGGAUGGAAGCGGGGGAUCGCAAGACCUCGCGCGAUUGGAGCGGCCGAUAUCAGAUUAGGUAGUUGGUGAGGUAAAGGCUCACCAAGCCGACGAUCUGUAGCUGGUCUGAGAGGACGACCAGCCACACUGGGACUGAGACACGGCCCAGACUCCUACGGGAGGCAGCAGUGGGGAAUUUUGGGACAAUGGGCGCAAGCCUGAUCCAGCAAUGCCGCGUGCAGGAUGAA
RNAcentral lists this ribosomal RNA (382 nucleotides) under uncultured bacterium. RNAcentral describes it as "bacterial SSU rRNA". It matches the Rfam family "Bacterial small subunit ribosomal RNA", at positions 30 to 412 of the family's 1533-position model. The record is from RNAcentral.